This 72-nucleotide transfer RNA is filed under the name Bos taurus (domestic cattle). It matches the Rfam family "tRNA". Rfam says of the family: Transfer RNA (tRNA) molecules are approximately 80 nucleotides in length. Their secondary structure includes four short double-helical elements and three loops (D, anti-codon, and T loops). Lineage: Eukaryota; Metazoa; Chordata; Mammalia; Artiodactyla; Bovidae. RNAcentral also lists the same sequence under 1 other name. The record is from Rfam by way of RNAcentral.
UCCCAGGUGGUACAGUGGUAAAGAAUAUGCCUGCCAAUGCAGGAGAUUUGGGUUCGAUCCCUGGUCUGGGAA